Molecule: transfer RNA, 104 nt
Filed under: Tolypothrix sp. PCC 7601
Lineage: Bacteria; Bacillati; Cyanobacteriota; Cyanophyceae; Nostocales; Tolypothrichaceae
Also listed under: 2 other names
Description: tRNA-Leu
Source: RNAcentral
GCUCCCGUGGCGAAAUUGGUAAACGCUUCCGUUUGAGGGACGGAAUUGUUGCAGGUACCCUGCGGGAAGCCGCUCCGCGUCUACAAAUCCUGUCGGGAGUACCA